Long non-coding RNA from Sitophilus oryzae (rice weevil), 411 nucleotides. RefSeq lists it as uncharacterized. NCBI's taxonomy places the organism in Eukaryota, Metazoa, Arthropoda, Insecta, Coleoptera, Curculionidae. The record is from RefSeq and is a predicted model, not a curated record. The transcript has 3 exons.
CAAAGUGCUGUCACUGUCAAUUACAAACUUAAAUUUUUUGUGUAUUUGUGUGUUUUUCUAAAAAAAUAGAAGAGAUCGAACAGUACAAUUGUGGAUUGUGGACUACCUUUUGGAAGCUGAAAGCUGACGAGAUGAAACUUAUUUUCACAGGAGAAAAUGCAUUGAAAUCCAACCAGUUGAAAAAGUUUUCAUUUUGUGGCAAGCUUUGGACUAUUAAAAGCUAAAGUACAUACCAGUAUGGGAGAUCGUAUUUAUAUCUAAUGUUCAGAUCAGAAUGUAAGAGGCCUAUACUUAUGCCAUCACAAAGCUACCUUAUGCAUUCAUGGACAUUAUAAUAUAUCAGUUACCAAUAUCCAAAGUCGAUGGACUGCUAGGAAAUAAAGAGGAAGGGACGAAAACAAAUAUCUAAAA